UACGUAGGGUGCGAGCGUUGUCCGGAAUUAUUGGGCGUAAAGAGCUCGUAGGCGGCUUGUCGCGUCGGAUGUGAAAGCCCGGGGCUUAACUCCGGGUCUGCAUUCGGAUACGGGCAGGCUAGAGUUCGGUAGGGGAGGAUCGGAAUUCCUGGGUGUAGCGGUGGAAAUGCGCAGGAUAUCAGGAGGAACACCGGUGGCGAAGGCGGAUCUCUGGGCCGAUACUGACGCUGGAGGAGCGAAAGCGUGGGGAGCGAACGGAUAGAUACCCGAGA
This 272-nucleotide ribosomal RNA is filed under the name uncultured bacterium. RNAcentral describes it as "partial 16S ribosomal RNA". It matches the Rfam family "Bacterial small subunit ribosomal RNA", at positions 524 to 792 of the family's 1533-position model. The record is from RNAcentral.